RNAcentral lists this unclassified non-coding RNA (348 nucleotides) under soil metagenome. RNAcentral describes it as "partial contains 5.8S ribosomal RNA, internal transcribed spacer 2, and large subunit ribosomal RNA". The stretch from base 1 to 120 matches the Rfam family "5.8S ribosomal RNA", at positions 35 to 154 of the family's 154-position model. The record is from RNAcentral.
GAUGAAGAACGUAGCGAAAUGCGAUAAGUAAUGUGAAUUGCAGAAUUCAGUGAAUCAUCGAGUCUUUGAACGCACAUUGCGCCCCCUGGUAUUCCGGGGGGCAUGCCUGUCAGAGCGUCAUUGCUGCCCUCAAGCACGGCUUGUGUGUUGGGCCCCGCCCCCCGGCUCCCGGGGGGCGGGCCCGAAAGGCAGCGGCGGCACCGCGUCCGGUCCUCGAGCGUAUGGGGCUUCGUCACCCGCUCCGUAGGCCCGGCCGGCGCCCGCCGGCGACCCCCCUCAAUCUUUUCAGGUUGACCUCGGAUCAGGUAGGGAUACCCGCUGAACUUAAGCAUAUCAAUAAGCGGAGGA